CCCUUAGAUGUUCUGGGCCGCACGCGCGCUACACUGAUGCAUUCAACGAGUCUAAAACCUGCUCUGAUAGGGGUGGGUAAUCUUUUGAAUGUGCAUCGUGAUUGGGAUAGAUGAUUGCAAUUUUUCAUCUUCAACGAGGAACGCCUAGUAAACGCAAGUCAUCAGCUUGCAUUGAUUACGUCCCUGCCCUUUGUACACACCGCCCGUCGCUCCUACCGAUUGAAUGAUCCGAUGAAUAUCAUGGAUUGAGGAUGCAAGCAGGUUCGCCUGUCUUCAUCUUCGAGAAGUGAAGUAAAUCUUAUCAUUUAGAGGAAGGAGAAGUCGUAACA
RNAcentral lists this ribosomal RNA (329 nucleotides) under uncultured eukaryote. RNAcentral describes it as "partial 18S ribosomal RNA". It matches the Rfam family "Eukaryotic small subunit ribosomal RNA", at positions 1470 to 1796 of the family's 1831-position model. The record is from RNAcentral.